RNAcentral lists this long non-coding RNA (1335 nucleotides) under Betta splendens (Siamese fighting fish). Its description in RNAcentral is "lncRNA (ENSBSLG00000000808.1)". Lineage: Eukaryota; Metazoa; Chordata; Actinopteri; Anabantiformes; Osphronemidae. The record is from RNAcentral.
CGGAAUGCUUCGAGGAGCAGCAGAGAGAGACCUGGAGAUGCGAUGAACCGAUGUCUGUGAAGACGCAGAUGUUAAGAGCCUCGUGUUGAAACGCCCUGACAGCUCAGACCCUCAGGGUCAAACAGGCCUUUGAUAACGAGUGACCCCCAGCUUUAUAUGUGGUCUUAGUCUGAUCAAACCCUCGACCUCAGGUUCAGUGCAGCCUAUCUGUUGGUUUGGAGCCCUGCAAACCACCAGGAAGAUGUUGACAUAUGGCAGCGCUGGUGCAAUACACAAGGCAUGGAUUACUUGGAGCAUAAUAAACAGGAGCAUAAAGAAGGAUCUGUGCAGAGUUAGGAGCGACUCCCCUCCGACCUUCUAUCGUUUUAUCCUCUGAGGUCUGGAGAUGCAGACUUCCUUAUAGUCCUGCAGUGGAGACGUCGGCUCAUAAUGGAGCUGUGUUUGUGCAGGGAUGCAGCAGGUGCUGCCUACACUGAAGGUCUGUGUGCUGCAUCCACCUGUACUUUCUGAUCCAAUCAACCAUUUGUACCAGGUCCAGUCGCGGAGCGGCGUGCGUGUUCUUUUAUCCAGCAGUGCAUUGAUGCCAACAAACCUUUGAAGACUGUGGAGCGGAGCUUAGAAUCGGCUGCGACAUUAAAACCUGCACCUUCGGAAACAAGCACGCAGGUUGUGAGCGCGCGCUGAGAGACACUGAGGAGGAGAGCUGGGGCGCGAAAGCAUCGACCGAAGGCACCGAGAGCCUCAGUGAAACCAGUAAAGACCGUCUCCUGCCGCCAUCAGGUCACUAUGACGCCAACACGAUUUGCCCUUGUGAUUCUCGGGUUUGCUGUGGCCUGUGCUUUGGAGACCAGCAACUCCACCACUGAUGAGCUGAACAUAAAGAGCAGCCCGGGCAAUGACACAGAGUCGCCAGGGACCAGCACAGCGAGCGAUGAUGACAGCGUCACUACCUCGUUCCUCAACAUCACCGUGGACACCACCAGCAUCCCCAGUACCAACAGUACCAACAGUGCCAGUAACCAAACCAGCACCACCAGCAGCGCCACCAGCACCACCAGCAGCGCCACCAGCAACACCAGCAGCACCACCAGCAACACCAGCACCACCAGCAAGCCGGUACCAACGGCGCCGCCAGGUCAGCGCUCGCGAUCCACUCUGUCAGAUGGUGAUUCUGAACCGUGUGGAUGUGAACGUUGCCUGUUCGGACCGUCGCGCUGUGCUUCACGUGUUUCUCUUCUUCAGAUAAUGCUAUUCCCACCACACCUAAAUCCAGUGGACCAGUCACAACCACUUCUACCACCACCAAAAACAAUAAAGGUCAGACGUGAGCGCUGA